AGAGUAAUAGCUCAGUGGUAGAGCAUGUGCUUAGCACGCACAAGUUCCUGGGUUCAAUCCCCAGUGCCUCCA
This 72-nucleotide transfer RNA is filed under the name Camelus bactrianus (Bactrian camel). It matches the Rfam family "tRNA". From Rfam's summary of the family: Transfer RNA (tRNA) molecules are approximately 80 nucleotides in length. Their secondary structure includes four short double-helical elements and three loops (D, anti-codon, and T loops). Further hydrogen bonds mediate the characteristic L-shaped molecular structure. tRNAs have two regions of fundamental functional importance: the anti-codon, which is responsible for specific mRNA codon recognition, and the 3' end, to which the tRNAs corresponding amino acid is attached (by aminoacyl-tRNA synthetases). tRNAs cope with the degeneracy of the genetic code in two manners: having more than one tRNA (with a specific anti-codon) for a particular amino acid; and 'wobble' base-pairing, i.e. permitting non-standard base-pairing at the 3rd anti-codon position. Lineage: Eukaryota; Metazoa; Chordata; Mammalia; Artiodactyla; Camelidae. RNAcentral also lists the same sequence under 2 other names. The record is from Rfam by way of RNAcentral.